RNAcentral lists this ribosomal RNA (449 nucleotides) under uncultured organism. RNAcentral describes it as "partial 16S ribosomal RNA". It matches the Rfam family "Bacterial small subunit ribosomal RNA", at positions 332 to 797 of the family's 1533-position model. The record is from RNAcentral.
UACACUCCUACGGGAGGCAGCAGUGGGGAAUAUUGGACAAUGGGCGCAAGCCUGAUCCAGCCAUGCCGCGUGAGUGAUGAAGGCCCUAGGGUUGUAAAGCUCUUUCACCGGUGAAGAUAAUGACGGUAACCGGAGAAGAAGCCCCGGCUAACUUCGUGCCAGCAGCCGCGGUAAUACGAAGGGGGCUAGCGUUGUUCGGAUUUACUGGGCGUAAAGUGCACGUAGGCGGACUAUUAAGUCAGGGGUGAAAUCCCGGGGCUCAACCCCGGAACUGCCUUUGAUACUGGUAGUCUUGAGUUCGAGAGAGGUGAGUGGAAUUCCGAGUGUAGAGGUGAAAUUCGUAGAUAUUCGGAGGAACACCAGUGGCGAAGGCGGCUCACUGGCUCGAUACUGACGCUGAGGUGCGAAAGCGUGGGGAGCAAACAGGAUUAGAAACCCCGGUAGUCCCA